This 742-nucleotide long non-coding RNA is filed under the name Gadus morhua (Atlantic cod). Its description in RNAcentral is "lncRNA (ENSGMOG00000036477.1)". Lineage: Eukaryota; Metazoa; Chordata; Actinopteri; Gadiformes; Gadidae. The record is from RNAcentral.
GUGUGUGGGAGUUUUAAGGAAUUCCAUAUUUUAGUCAAUGGUGGCUUGGGCUAUAAGAUGGCUAUGAAGUAUAGUUACUGGUGGUGACUGUCUCUGUCUCUGUCUCUGUCUCUGUCUCUGUCUCUGUCUCUCUCUCUCUCUCUCUCUCUCUCUCUCUCUCUCUCUCUCUCUCUCUCUGUCUCUGUCUCUGUCUCUGUCUCUCUCUCUCUGUCUCUCUCACUCUCUCUCAAUCUCUCGCUCUCUCUCUCUCUAGAAAUGCCUGCUCCAGGUGUCGUUCCGGCCCCGCCUGUCAGACCAGCAGAUCAGGGAGGAGGCGGCUCGCAUCGCCCACCGAGCCGUUCUCCUCCGCAGGCAGGAGCUGGAGAGGAGCCGGGCGGAGAAAGCAUCGGGGCCCCAGGAGCUCCCAGCAGGUAAGAAUGGUAAGAAUGGGCCACGGCCCUCAGCCAAAGCGGCUACCAGUGCUAAGACAAAAGUCAAGCAGAGUCCAAUCCCCGAACCCGAAGACCUUGCAUCACCCAGGCCUGAAGACAUACAAGAGGGGUCUGAGGCCUACGAGGCCGGCCGGGCGGCGCUGCUCUACUCCUUCCCCGGCCGCCUGCGACGCUACGUGGUCCCGUGCUUCGUGUCGGACGGAGACCUCCCCGCGGACGACCCCCAGGCCCAGGCGGCGUGGAGGUAACGCCGUGCCGCGGGACGCCCACCCUCUGGACUGGACACACACCAGUAUCACCUUAGAGUCUGA